Molecule: long non-coding RNA, 3719 nt
Organism: Neofelis nebulosa (Clouded leopard)
Lineage: Eukaryota; Metazoa; Chordata; Mammalia; Carnivora; Felidae
Exons: 3
Source: RefSeq, a predicted model, not a curated record
CCCUGUGAAGCCACCAGAGACCUCCUGAGAGCAGAGCUGCGGGCGCUAGCCUGGAAGCCCUGACUGCCCGCACACUCUUUCAGCCACCUUGGACUUCUCUGUCCUUUCAGAAGUGACCAAGGCCCUAGAGAAAGUGGCACAGCUCUUGGACCCGGAUGGGUCAGCCUCAGCACCUGGAGCUCCAGGGCUUUCACCUGCAGCCAACUUGAGCACCUUUGGGGAGCUGGAGAUAAGAAUUGCAGAGGCAGAGCCAAAAGUGGGCAGGACUUGACCUGUGGUGUUAUUUCAGUUACAAAGUGCAUUGACAUACAUUAUCUUGUUUGAUCUUUGGUUAGACAAUAAACAGAAUUUUCUUAUCAGAAGACUAAAAAAUUGGAGAUGUUCAAAAGUUCAGUAAUCUUUACUUCUGGAAAUGAUUAAUCAAAAAGAAUAAAGUGUUCUGUCUAACACCAUCUAAAAGAGAAACACCUUGAUAUGAGAAUCAGAAGACCAAAGUUCUAGUUCCAGCUCUGCAUUAAAUGUAUGCCCUUAGGUGAAUCACUCACUUUGUCUAGACUUUAGUCUCCCCAUCUGUUAAAUGAAGGUGUUCAUAUGUUGGGGCGGGGGACAGGAGGACACUCUAGAAAUAUUGAGGACCAGAUAACUUAAAAACCCUCCAUUAAAGAGGCUUCCAGACUGGUAAGGAGAAAGAAAUAAUACAGUGGAGAGAGUGAACACCAUUCUCCAAGACCCCUUUCAGCUUUAGCAUUGCAUAAUUUUAAGUUUGGCUUGCAGAAGUCACUCUGAGGCACUCCAAGAUUCUGGAUCUUUGCAGAUGGUUGAAGGCUGCACUAAGACUUGGAGGGACUCUCGAAGAAGUGGGAGCUGUGGUGGGUGCUGUGCCUACCAGGUUGUGGGAGAAGAGUGAAUGAAUGCCCCUGGCAUGGAAGAGUCCCCUGAGAAGAACAUUCAAUUCUGAAGAUCUUACAAAGGUUUUUGCUCUGGAUGCAGCUUCAAGAGGCACACUCAUGAUUCAUAAUGGUGGCAGCUAUCUGACAGCUACUAAAUGGAGGGACUUGAACUGGGAUUUGAACCCAGGUCCACCUGACCCAGAACCUGUGCUUCUCACCCACUCUGCUGUGGUUAUUCUACUAGUCAGCAAAGAAUUCUGUGAGAAGCAUCCAUCUGUCUGAGGGACCAUUCUGCAUUCCAGAAGAGACAGAACCCAUCGCCUCACUGUUUGCCCUUAAUGGUACCUGAGCUCCCUAUGAUGGCCAGCAUCUGCCCACUCCUCACUUUGAAGCUCAGAUUUUGGAUGCCCAGCUCACAAGAAUCCUUGUGAGAUGCCCAAGGCAUCUUGAACUGAGCCAGCUUCUCAAACCAGGGCACCUGGGAGUCCAUGUCCACCUGUGGGGAGAUAUUGCAAGGUUCUUCAGAGGGCGGAAUAGAGGGUUUCAGCAACUUCUGUUCAACUGUACAGGAGACAUCCUCCUGCUGUUGCACAAAAGGCCUGAGGGGCCCCCACCUACCAUGCUGAGAACCUGAAGCUGCCAUUUCCAAGUCUGAAGUUAAGACAUGGGAAGCAUGUGUAAUAGCAGAAUGGAAACAAAAACAAAGCAAAACAAUGUUUUCAGUUUUUCAGUUAAUGAUAAUUUACUAAUGAUUUGUUAAAUGUUUAUUACAUGCAAGGCAUUGUGUAAAUCUCUAUUUAUUAUCCCAUUCAGUCCUCCUUGCAGACCUAUAACAUAGGUACCAUUAUAAUCACUGUUUUUACAGGUGAGGCUCAGAGCAGUUACUUGUUCAAGGUCACACAGCUAACAAGUGGCAGAACAGAAAAUGCUUAUGGUGAGGCUCAUUAGCUUGUCCUAAUUCACAUUCACAGGAAGCCAGAGUUGGGCCUCUGAAGUUUACCAUUCUGCCCCCCCAGCGUAUUCCAUCUGAACUGCCAGGGGUCUACCCCCAAGGAGGUCUGGUAAAUGGGGUCUUGAAUCUGACCAGGGGGUCCUUCAGAGCCUCUGAAAGGCCAGGAGUCCUUGCACUUUGGAUAUUUUAUUAGCUCCAGGGACAGUGUACUUUGCAAGCAAACAAAUAACAAAACACGAAGCUGGUGAAACCUGAAAGUCUAUAGUUUAGUGAAACCUGAAAGUCUGUAGUUUAGUGAAUAGCGUCACAGCAUUGUUAAUUUCUUGGUUUUCAUUAUUUUGCUCUGGGUAUGCAAGAUGUUAACAUUAGGGGAAGUUGGGCAAAGGUUACAUGGAAACUGUACUAUUUUUGUAACUUUCCCAAAAGUCUAAACUUACUUCAAAAUCUGAAGUUAAAGUUUGAGAGAUUUGUUUUUUCCCCAACAGGGUCACAUAAUUUCUUUAUGUUUUAACAGAGGUCUUGUUCUCUAAUGCUUCUCAACUUCCAGCUACAGUAUAUAUAGCUGAAGGAAGUCUUGUGGUACUUUCACCCAACAUGUGAGGCAUCAACUUGGCAGAGGGCCCUCAGGAUGGGCUCACCCUUACCUUCCACUUGGGGAAUCAUUUGGCCUUCCCUGCCCACUCCUCCCACCUUAUCCUCAGGUAUGCCUCUACCUGGUAGCUGAGAUCCUGGACCUCCAAGGUGUUGGACUGGCCACUGUAGGUGAAGUAUAGGCUGUUGUCAUUUUCAGAGGAGAACAAGCUGUCCUGGAGGCCCUGCUGAGAAACAUGACAGAGCUGCCACUCACGCACUGAUGUGUUCAGUCAAGUAAGCAAGCAAGCAAGCAUCCAAUACUUAUUGGGAGCCCACAUGAUGCUGCAAGUUUGGAGUUUGGGAUAUGACAGUGAAAAAGAUGGUCUCUGAGAAACUUAAACUUUUUAUUGAGGUAAAAUUGGUAUAUAACAUUAUGCUAGUGUCAGGUGCACAACACAACAAUUUAAGAUUUGUGUACACUGCAAAGUCACUACAAUAUGUGUAGUUACCAUCUGUCAUCAUGCAAAGAAACUUAGAUUAAGAAAAUUUUUUUUAAUGUUUAUUUUUGAGAGAGAGACAGAGACAGAAUGUGAGCAGGGGAGGGGCAGAGAGGGAGACCCAGAAUCCAAAGCAGGCUCCAGGCUUUGAGCUGUCAGCACAGAGCCUGAUGCAGGGCUCAAACCCACAAACCAUGAGAUCAUGACCUGAGCCAAAGUCAGAUGCCCAACCAACUGAGCUACCCAGGUGCCCCAGAAAAGCGUAGAUUUUAAUGAAUGGGACAGGUGGUCAAGAUGGAGCAAGAUAGGCCAGGUGUAGAGCAGGCUGACCUCAAGCAUCCAUUCAGGGUAUAUUUAUACUGUGUACACAAUGCCUACAUGUGCUUUGUGUGAAAAUAAAAUGACUUACAUUAUGUGAAAAUAGUCUCCAGAAGUCUCUGUCAAACUUCCCCUGUAGUGGCAGAGGUCAGAAGUCCUUGGAAAGGACCACAGAAAUGGAAGAUCAAUACAGGUGGUCAUCUAUGACAGUAACUAUCAGUGAGUAUUCCCCAGAAUUGCAGGGCAGUAUGAAAACAGCAGACCAUGGCUACUUAUCUUAUCUGAUGUUAGAAUUAUUACCAUAAAGAUCCUAAAUUAUACAGAAGAAACUGGGAAACCUGAAUACCUACUUUAGCAGAAGGACUAUCUCUGUGGAAUAGAGAGGAAUGCAAGAGAGAAGGGUACAGGGAAGAACGAGGGGAGUGAACUUCACAGUUCUUGGUAGUUAAGUUGCAGGUACAUAAGAGAUCACUGUUUUUUCAGCUGAUC